UCCGAGUUGUCCCCGGCAGUCCUCUUAGAGUCCCCAGCAUUACCUGAUGGCAACUAAGAGCAGGGGUUGCGCUCGUUGCGGCACUUAAGCCAACACCUCACGGCACGAGCUGACGACAGCCAUGCAGCACCUGUGCUAGCCCCUUACGGACACGGGCUUUCACCCGCUUUAACUAGCAUGUCAAACCCAGGUAAGGUUCUUCGCGUUGCAUCGAAUUAAACCACAUACUCCACCGCUUGUGCGGGCCCCCGUCAAUUCCUUUGAGUUUCAGUCUUGCGACCGUACUCCCCAGGCGGCGAACUUAUUGCGUUAGCUGCGACACCAAGAAGAUUAAACUCCCCGACGUCUAGUACCCAUCGUUUACGGCGUGGACUAC
RNAcentral lists this unclassified non-coding RNA (376 nucleotides) under uncultured bacterium. RNAcentral's name for it is "contains 16S-23S intergenic spacer region". The record is from RNAcentral.